AAAUUGAAGAGUUUGAUCAUGGCUCAGAUUAAACGCUGGCGGCAGGCCUAACACAUGCAAGUCGAGCGGUAGCACAGAGAGCUUGCUCUCGGGUGACGAGCGGCGGACGGGUGAGUAAUGUCUGGGAAACUGCCUGAUGGAGGGGGAUAACUACUGGAAACGGUAGCUAAUACCGCAUAACGUCGCAAGACCAAAGUGGGGGACCUUCGGGCCUCAUGCCAUCAGAUGUGCCCAGAUGGGAUUAGCUAGUAGGUGGGGUAACGGCUCACCUAGGCGACGAUCCCUAGCUGGUCUGAGAGGAUGACCAGCCACACUGGAACUGAGACACGGUCCAGACUCCUACGGGAGGCAGCAGUGGGGAAUAUUGCACAAUGGGCGCAAGCCUGAUGCAGCCAUGCCGCGUGUGUGAAGAAGGCCUUCGGGUUGUAAAGCACUUUCAGCGGGGAGGAAGGCGGUGAGGUUAAUAACCUCAUCGAUUGACGUUACCCGCAGAAGAAGCACCGGCUAACUCCGUGCCAGCAGCCGCGGUAAUACGGAGGGUGCAAGCGUUAAUCGGAAUUACUGGGCGUAAAGCGCACGCAGGCGGUCUGUCAAGUCGGAUGUGAAAUCCCCGGGCUCAACCUGGGAACUGCAUUCGAAACUGGCAGGCUAGAGUCUUGUAGAGGGGGGUAGAAUUCCAGGUGUAGCGGUGAAAUGCGUAGAGAUCUGGAGGAAUACCGGUGGCGAAGGCGGCCCCCUGGACAAAGACUGACGCUCAGGUGCGAAAGCGUGGGGAGCAAACAGGAUUAGAUACCCUGGUAGUCCACGCCGUAAACGAUGUCGAUUUGGAGGUUGUGCCCUUGAGGCGUGGCUUCCGGAGCUAACGCGUUAAAUCGACCGCCUGGGGAGUACGGCCGCAAGGUUAAAACUCAAAUGAAUUGACGGGGGCCCGCACAAGCGGUGGAGCAUGUGGUUUAAUUCGAUGCAACGCGAAGAACCUUACCUGGUCUUGACAUCCACAGAACUUUCCAGAGAUGGAUUGGUGCCUUCGGGAACUGUGAGACAGGUGCUGCAUGGCUGUCGUCAGCUCGUGUUGUGAAAUGUUGGGUUAAGUCCCGCAACGAGCGCAACCCUUAUCCUUUGUUGCCAGCGGUUCGGCCGGGAACUCAAAGGAGACUGCCAGUGAUAAACUGGAGGAAGGUGGGGAUGACGUCAAGUCAUCAUGGCCCUUACGACCAGGGCUACACACGUGCUACAAUGGCAUAUACAAAGAGAAGCGACCUCGCGAGAGCAAGCGGACCUCAUAAAGUAUGUCGUAGUCCGGAUUGGAGUCUGCAACUCGACUCCAUGAAGUCGGAAUCGCUAGUAAUCGUAGAUCAGAAUGCUACGGUGAAUACGUUCCCGGGCCUUGUACACACCGCCCGUCACACCAUGGGAGUGGGUUGCAAAAGAAGUAGGUAGCUUAACCUUCGGGAGGGCGCUUACCACUUUGUGAUUCAUGACUGGGGUGAAGUCGUAACAAGGUAACCGUAGGGGAACCUGCGGUUGGAUCACCUCCUUA
This 1540-nucleotide ribosomal RNA is filed under the name Klebsiella pneumoniae. RNAcentral's name for it is "bacterial SSU rRNA". It matches the Rfam family "Bacterial small subunit ribosomal RNA". Lineage: Bacteria; Pseudomonadati; Pseudomonadota; Gammaproteobacteria; Enterobacterales; Enterobacteriaceae. The record is from RNAcentral.